AUGACAAUUAACAAGGCGCAGGGUCAGACCAUCCCAAACGUCGGUAUUUACCUUCCCGAGCCAGUAUUCUCACAUGGCCAGCUGUAUGUUGCAUUGUCAAGGGGAGUGUCGAGAGAGAGACAACACGGGUUUUGGCCAAGCCAAACCAGGAGGUUGAUAAAUCCGGGAAAAUUACCAAGAACAUUGUCUACAGAGAUGUUUUGGACAGAUGAGGUAGGUGCGUUAUUCCAUUAUUGUAUCUAUAUAACUAAUUCUGAGCCUAACAAUUUUCUCUUAUUUUAUUUGCAGGUUUUGAUCAGAACGCACCACAUAAUAAGCAUGAAAGAAGAAUGGUGUCGAUGUGACCUCCGACUCUGUGUGCCGGAGUCGUUUAUUUGUGUGAUUUAUUUGUAA
Molecule: ribosomal RNA, 393 nt
Filed under: Triticum aestivum (bread wheat)
Lineage: Eukaryota; Viridiplantae; Streptophyta; Magnoliopsida; Poales; Poaceae
Description: partial small subunit ribosomal RNA
Source: RNAcentral